This 408-nucleotide ribosomal RNA is filed under the name uncultured bacterium. Its description in RNAcentral is "partial 16S ribosomal RNA". It matches the Rfam family "Bacterial small subunit ribosomal RNA", at positions 28 to 526 of the family's 1533-position model. The record is from RNAcentral.
GACGAACGCUGGCGGCGUGCUUAACACAUGCAAGUCGAACGGAGUGGCGAACGGGUGAGUAACACGUGGGUGACCUGCCCUGCACUUCGGGAUAAGCCCGGGAAACUGGGGCUAAUACCGGAGAGUGUGGGAUGGGCCGGCGGCCUAUCAGGUUGUUGGUGGGGUAAUGGCCUACCAAGGCGGCGACGGGGAGCCGGCCUGGGCGGGUGGACGGCCACAAUGGGACUGAGGCACGGACCAGACACAGACGGGAGGCAGCAGGCGGGAAUAUUGCACGAUGGACGGAAGCCUGAUGCAGGGACGCCGCGGGGGGGAUGACUGCAUUCGGGUUGUACACUCCUUUCACCAUCGACGCGGUAGGUGGAGAAGAAGCACCGGCUAACGACGUGCCAGCAGCCGCGGUAAUAC